GCCCCCAUCGUCUAGCGGCCUAGGACACCACCCUCUCAAGGUGGACGCACGGGUUCAAAUCCCGUUGGGGGUGCCA
This 76-nucleotide transfer RNA is filed under the name Actinomycetes bacterium. RNAcentral describes it as "tRNA-Glu". It matches the Rfam family "tRNA". Rfam says of the family: Transfer RNA (tRNA) molecules are approximately 80 nucleotides in length. RNAcentral also lists the same sequence under 5 other names. The record is from RNAcentral. Lineage: Bacteria; Bacillati; Actinomycetota; Actinomycetes.